This is a long non-coding RNA of Cryptomeria japonica (Japanese cedar), 1697 nucleotides long. RefSeq lists it as uncharacterized. NCBI's taxonomy places the organism in Eukaryota, Viridiplantae, Streptophyta, Pinopsida, Cupressales, Cupressaceae. The transcript is spliced from 2 exons. The record is from RefSeq and is a predicted model, not a curated record.
GUGAGUUUUAAGAUAAUGAAAAACAACGAGCAGCUUCUACUGUAAUCUUACUUGAAAGAUCUGAUCAGCAAAAUCAGAGAAGCAUCUGUUAAAUAAAUAAAACUAAAAUUGAGUUUAUGGAUUGGCUUGGGGGUGUGAGGUGCGCCAGGCUUGUGAUGUAGUGCAAUACAGAAACGAUGCGCGAAGACUCUGGCAGCAAGCUACCGUAUGAGUCUUUCCCCUCAAGAAAUUAAUUUAAUAUCGUGCGGAUCAUUGAACCACGUAUCGAAUAUUAAACUGAUAAGAACAGAUACUACACUUGAUCUUAGCCAAAAGGCCGAGAAAGAUAUGCUUUGAGUGGCAUCUUCCCUCGUUAUUUAUGCUGACGUUUUCUUCGCCGGAGCCUUCCCCUGUUACAUGUGGGAUAAUUAUAUCUCGAAAGAGUACUCUUUAAUUAGCCAAUAGGCUAUAUUGGGUGGGCUUUGCCCAUAGAAAUUCAGUAAUUCUCAUGUCUGAAAUUUUUUCCGAGCGCCUGAACAUUUUGUGCAAGCAGCGACCUCACGCGAAAAUCUUGUCUCAAGCUCAACAUAAGUAGCCCUAAAGCUCCGAUAUUUUCAGAUCCACUCUUCGUUUACUGUGAAUAUUGAAGAAGCAGCAACAGUAGGGAAAUUGGUUUUAGUUUGCCUCAUUCUUAAAAAAUUCUGCUGUAGUAGGGUUCGCAAUUCUUUCCUGCAAAUUUUUCCCUUUCUUUCUCAUCGGCAUCAUUCAAAGAACGACACAAUUUGUGCAGAAUCAUGAGGCAUUGCCGGGAAAAACAACUUUCACGCAGUUGAAACAUUCCUCGCCCAGUGCCUGGAAAACAAACUAUAACUCGCAACCAAUAUUUUCGUUCAAAAGGCUGCAAAUUUUUUUGUCUCGAGCUCAAGAAUAGAGUAGCCCUAAAACCCCGACAUUUUUAGAUCGAUUUUUCGUCUACUGUGAAUAGAUUGAAGCAUCAUGUGUUGGGGGAGUUUUGAAAAAAAUUCUGCUGUGGUAGGGUUUCGUAAAAUUUUCCUCCAACUUUAACCAUUUUUUUUCAUGGCAUCGUUGACAGCACGACACAAUUAUGCAGAAUCUGAAAGCCUUGAUUACCCUCUUCACUGCUGUCUGAGAGUAUGGAGAGGGCUUUAAAUUUUGCAGACAACCAAAAACUACAGACUCUUGGUUUGCGGCACCUGAGGUUGGGUAAUGGAAUAGAAAUGAGACUGCAUUGCCUCUUCAAGUCAAAGAUGAGUUCAACAUCCAACAUCCUUCAUUCACUGGACAAAGGAGCCUUUGAUCUGUCUAAAUAUGCAUUCAUGAAUAUCUCCACAAAAUGUAGAUCCAUUUCUUCUUUGGAUUUUUUUUUCAAACAUUGCGAGGAAAGAGUAUGGUGGUGUUAAUGUUAAUUUAUUCUUUGUUUUUCUUUUCUAUUAUAAGCAAAUAUGUUGGUCUCUAUUGCUAGAUUUAUAAUUCAAGGAAGAUUUGAAAUGGCUUGUUAUUCAAAAGUCAGUUUAACUGAUGUUUAGGAGAAUUCUAUAUUUCUGUGUGAGUCCUUUCUAGAUUCUGGUUAGUAAUCUUUUACUAGGAUUUGGUGAAGUUAGACAGAAACACUGUAUAUGAAUUGGGGCAGUUUUUGUAAACCUUAAUUUUGCAUGCAUUUUGCAAGAGGUAUCAAUUACAGAUCCUUAAAGUGGUUU